UACAGAGGUCCCGAGCGUUGUUCGGAUUCAUUGGGCGUAAAGGGUGCGUAGGCGGUCUGCUAAGUUUGGUGUGAAAUCCCGGGGCUCAACCCUGGAAUGGCAUUGAAUACUGGCGGACUAGAGUACCGGAGAGGGAACUGGAAUUUACGGUGUAGCAGUGAAAUGCGUAGAUAUCGUUUGGAACGCCAAUGGUGAAAACAGGUUGCUGGGAGUGUGCUGACGCUGAGACACGAAAGCCAGGGGAGCAAACGGG
This 253-nucleotide ribosomal RNA is filed under the name uncultured bacterium. Its description in RNAcentral is "partial 16S ribosomal RNA". It matches the Rfam family "Bacterial small subunit ribosomal RNA", at positions 524 to 776 of the family's 1533-position model. The record is from RNAcentral.